AGGCAGAGCAAUCUCUGCUGCAAGGUUGUGGGAAUUCUGCAGCAGAUUUUAUUCGUCCACCUCCAGCCUCCCAGUAAUAACAUGGCUGUUUAGACUCUUCUCUGAGCUUCAGGGAAGAAAGAAAUCUUGUUACAGAUGCAUGCUCUACAGAGUGUGAACUUGGCUGUCUUCCCAUGCCAAGGAUACAUCACAGAAGGCAGAGAACCCCAACUCUCGGUCCAUGGACCGGCACCGGGCUGCAGCAUGCCAGAAACUGGUCCGCGCAAACAAGCAAAGCCCCAUCUGCAGGAUGCAGGCAGUACAUGAAACCACACCCCCUCCGGUCCGCAGAAAAACCUCGUUCCAUGGAACUGGUCCCUGGUUCCCAAAAGGUUGGGGACCUCUGCUUUAAGGGGAUUGUCUUGAUUUUGGGGUCAUCUCCCUUUUGGAUAAAUACAAUGGUUGAUUCCUGGUAAAGGUCUCUUUGCUUCCAACUUUUUAUCUUAUAAUCUGCUUUUUUAAAGAAUAGAAGUGUUGCUGAAUGUUUUAGUUCUGCUAUCUUUCAACUGUCAUGUCAUGAAUUACUUCCUUGUGUUUUAACCUCACGUUACCCAUUUCAAUCAUUAUUUUAACGAGGGUAAACUCUUUGCCUUGGGGUGCCAUUUCUCAUCUCGAAGAAUCCUUCAAACUUGGACAAACUGUGGCCUCAGCAAUGGAAGGGAUGAAAUUGGGAAUUAGUCCAACCUGGCCAGAUUGAGAGGACUAUGUGAUAACAGUGCUCUUCAAGUAGCUCAAAAAAAAAUCUCAUUUAAAAAAAAGCAGAGACUGGAUCUUUUUUACCCCAGAAUGCAGGGAAGAGGGAUAAUGG
Long non-coding RNA from Crotalus tigris (Tiger rattlesnake), 847 nucleotides. RefSeq lists it as uncharacterized. NCBI's taxonomy places the organism in Eukaryota, Metazoa, Chordata, Lepidosauria, Squamata, Viperidae. The transcript has 3 exons. The record is from RefSeq and is a predicted model, not a curated record.